Molecule: non-coding RNA, 228 nt
Organism: Vicia faba (fava bean)
Lineage: Eukaryota; Viridiplantae; Streptophyta; Magnoliopsida; Fabales; Fabaceae
Source: the annotation of a GenBank genome assembly
AUGCUUACUGCCCAACAACAUCUUUUCGAAGCAAACGGAGCUCACCGAUAUCAAGUUUUACUUCCGCCGAAUACGAAAGGAGGAGGCAAGGGAAGUUUCUUUUGGGAAGCAAGCCCCUCAACUUAUCCGCUUAUCGGAAAGAGUAGGGACCUACUACCUACAGGCAUAGACAGGACAGCAAACUUCUGGGCACCUUUUUGUAAGUCAUAUCUAUUCUUUGCUCGUUAA